CACAUAGGGCUGAGGCGAAGCAACGAAGUCUCCACAGGCACAGAAACGCAUCUAAAAAAGGAGGAGAGCAAAGGAGACCCAGCUGGAAGGGAGCUGCCUCAGGAGCCCUGCCAAGCCCUCGGCCUGCCUGCAGCCCAGGGAGGAGCAGCCACAGCUUAGCACGGCUGGAAAGCAAUGAGGAGUGGGAUCAGCCUGCCCAGCCCAUGGGACAAGUUCCCACAGCCUUGCAGAGGAGGCAUCAGAACAGCACAAGCAAAUGUGUUUACAGCUUCACGCUUAAAUUUGAAACGUGUUUCUAACCUGACAUCUGUGUAUUUUCAGCCCUUUCCAAAGCUCUUGUUUUGCUUUCUGUGGCUUCUGCUUCAUUAUUCUAAUUUAAUAA
This is a long non-coding RNA of Melozone crissalis (California towhee), 382 nucleotides long. RefSeq lists it as uncharacterized. The transcript has 3 exons. The record is from RefSeq and is a predicted model, not a curated record. NCBI's taxonomy places the organism in Eukaryota, Metazoa, Chordata, Aves, Passeriformes, Passerellidae.